UUGGUUUUGUUUUUUAAUAUUUUCUCUACCCACUCCCCCAUCUCCCAACACUGUCACUCUCUCUCAUCCCUCACAUCCUCAUUUGCAUUGAUCGUCUAACAAUGGUUGCUAAAACACCCUUUAAAUGAAUUACUUGUACAGGAAUGCCUGUUCCGUCCUGAUUUGAAGAAAAUUUCUUAAGCGGCUGUAACUUCAUGAUCAAAGGGGUCAAGGCGGUGGAGUGGGUUAAUGGUUAUAUGUUCUUGAGUAUCUUAUUUCAUUUUAGUUUUCCUAGCCCAGUGAAUUUGUGCAGAUGUUUGUUGGAAGAGGAGCAGCUCGCAUUAGAGACCUUUUCAAUAUGGCAAGGAACCAUUCACCUUCAAUUAUAUUCAUUGACGAGCUUGAUGCGGUUGGAACGAAGAGUGGCAGAAGUUUCAAUGAUGAGCGUAACCAAGCAUUGAAUCAGGAAUGGAUAUAAAAAAUUUCUGUGUGAAACGAAUCUGCACACUUCGGCUUUGACCCAAGAAAUGCGAAGGAAGGGUGGUUCAGCAGCUUUGCACGAAGGUACCGGGCCAAAGUACGCUAUUCUGGUUUUGAAAUUCAGCAGAUCUUAAUGCCCCUUCUUUUAUUUAUUAUUAAAUUUUAGAGGAGCGGUAUUGGUGGUUUAGGUAAUUAGUUAUUAAAGAAGAAGAAAAUUUGUAACGAUUGACGCACCAAGGUGUAUAUGCAUUAUUAUUUUUUGUUGCUGUGAUAAAGCAUCAUUUGCAAGUCUUCAUAAGUUUAAUUCGGAAGACUGUUUUUUUGGUAAAUAACAUUCUACAAUAAUCUACACUUCUUUUUUUUGUUAAAGAAAUAUCAACUGUUUAAGGUGAAAUUUUAUUGAAACUAAAAGGCAAAUACACCUGAAAGAAAAAAAAAUGAUAGUCUAUACGAAUCUACACUAAGCGAUAUUUGUUCAACUAUGCUGAAUCUGCACUUGCAUACAUAACUCCUCCUUUAUGAAACGAAAAUAAUCUCAAUCUCCCCAUUCACAUGAAAAAUGAGUUAAGGUGACCGGAAUAUCUCCGGUUGAGUGUAAGUAUCUCACAUACGUGUCAUUUCCAACCGUAUAAUAGACAGAAAGCAGAUGAUUAAUGGUUCUUUGACUUUUAAUCUAAUGAGGGUAAUAACGAUACUACUCUGAAAUCUUUGAUAUAUAUGCUGUUAGCUACAAAACUUGUUUACUCAAUAAAAACACACGUUGCAAUUAAUU
Pyrus x bretschneideri (Chinese white pear) is the source of this 1231-nucleotide long non-coding RNA. RefSeq lists it as uncharacterized. The record is from RefSeq and is a predicted model, not a curated record. Lineage: Eukaryota; Viridiplantae; Streptophyta; Magnoliopsida; Rosales; Rosaceae. The transcript has 3 exons.